GCGAGCUAGCGACCGACGGGCAAGCGGGCGGCUCCAGGGAAGUGAGAGCGCCUCCGCCGCCCGGGCCAGGUUAAUAAACAUCUCUGCAACAGUACCUGCCAGAUAGAUUCUGCAAAGGCAAGAGUCCUGCCCUGGAGGAGCUCAAGGCAGCUCUCAUGAAGAAACGUGGAAUCUUAUAACCUCCCAACCUCCCAAGACCCACUGAAUCUGCAUUUUCACCAGAUCCCAAGGCAUGGAAGAAACGAAAUACACCUGAAAAUGUGUACCAGUGAAGUGACCACAGAGGAACUCUCAUCUUCCGCUGAGGCCCAGCUCACUUUGUGGAAGACCUUCAAGAUGCCCAGGCACAAGAUGAAGAAGGCAAGGCUGGAGAGGUGAAGAAGUUUGUUGGAGUGGUGACAAAGCUAGUGGGUAGGAGAGCCAGCACUUGAACACAGGCAGCCCAGCCCUAAGUACUUGUCCUACCUAAACCACUAUGCACCCCCUCCCCAGCUAGGGUAGUUGCAUAUUUUUGGAAAAUCCUUGAUAUGGUUUGGCUGCGUCCCCACCCAAAUCCCAUCUUGAACUGUAGCUCCCAUAAUUCCCACGUGUUGUGGGAGGGACCGGGUGGGAGAUAAUCGAAUCAUGGUGGUACCUUCCCCCAUACUGUUCUCGUGGUAAUGAAUAACU
RNAcentral lists this long non-coding RNA (669 nucleotides) under Homo sapiens (human). RNAcentral describes it as "HSALNT0329690". Lineage: Eukaryota; Metazoa; Chordata; Mammalia; Primates; Hominidae. The record is from RNAcentral.